This 405-nucleotide ribosomal RNA is filed under the name uncultured bacterium. RNAcentral's name for it is "bacterial SSU rRNA". It matches the Rfam family "Bacterial small subunit ribosomal RNA", at positions 355 to 776 of the family's 1533-position model. The record is from RNAcentral.
CAGGGGAUCUUGGGCAAUGGGCGAAAGCCUGACCCAGCGACACCGCGUGGGGGAAGAAGGCCUUCGGGUCGUAAACCCCCUUUCCGGGGGACGAGCAAGGACGGUACCCCGGGAAGAAGCACCGGCUAACUCCGUGCCAGCAGCCGCGGUAAUACGGAGGGUGCAAGCGUUAAUCGGAAUCACUGGGCGUAAAGCGCGCGUAGGCGGUCUGGUCAGUCAGAUGUGAAAGCCCCGGGCUUAACCUGGGAACUGCAUUUGAAACUGCUGGACUAGAGUGUGGUAGAGGGAAGUGGAAAUCCGAGUGUAGCGGUGAAAUUCGUAGAUAUUGGGAAGAACACCGGUUGCGAAGGCGGCCAUCUGGAUCGGAACUGACGCUGAGGUGCGAAAGCGUGGGGAGCGAACAGG